Long non-coding RNA from Aphis gossypii (cotton aphid), 2556 nucleotides. RefSeq lists it as uncharacterized. The record is from RefSeq and is a predicted model, not a curated record. The transcript is spliced from 9 exons. NCBI's taxonomy places the organism in Eukaryota, Metazoa, Arthropoda, Insecta, Hemiptera, Aphididae.
GUUCGAUGAUCAUUUCGGUAGUUGGUGUGGUGUUAAUGGUUCGACAUCACCGAGGAUCGGACUUACACAACCAAAAAUUCUUAUUUGGGCAGUACUACUGCCGCCGAAAAAAUACGUCGAAACAAUGUCCGUAUUACACCGCAGAAAAGUCACCGUCAUUGAAAGUCAUUGAGUUCCGUACAACCGACGCACGUAACGCAUUGGCUAGUUCUAUUGAACUCCCAAGACACAAUGGUAUUUUUGGUAAAUUGCUUUCUGUUACCUAUUUCACCGUCGAACAACGAAGUCGAUGAAUUAUCUGCAACGAGCUAAGGAAAAAGUACCGUCAUCACUCAUCGAAAACUUGAACGAAGUGCGAAUAGCUGUUGCUCAUAGAGUAUUGGGAAUUUCGUCGAACAGAUCGAUGUUACUUUACGUCAUGCAAAUAUUACGAUUUGUGAUCUGUGGUAUCGAAAUCUCAAUGUGUAUCACAGAUUUAAUUUACAGCUGUAGUACUAUCACGUUUUCAACAUGUCAUAGAAUCGGUAUGAUGAAUUCAGCGUUCACAUGAGGUUCUGAUUCGUUUGUCAAACAUACUGAUUCCGUCGGAAGGCAAUUAACGUUAACUUCAUCAAAAGACAACGCGUUAGAAGAUUCGUUAACAUUGCAUCCAGAACAAAUAGCUGACAUUGGUAACACGUCUGCUGCUCGUGAAGCUUCGUUAACAUUGGUUUCAGAACAAAUAACCGGCAUUGGUAACAUUCCUGCUGCUCGUGAAGCUCGGCGAGUAAUUGCAAGAAUUCGACUUCUUCUUGCGACAAGACAAAUAUCCCUUCUUUAUCCAUUUCAAAGUAAGAAAAUAAUAUGACAAAUAACCGGCAUUGGUAACUUUGCAUUCAAUUGGAAUUAUAAUGUACUUCACCUAUUGCACCAAAAAAUGAUGUAAGCUUGUUUGUUAAUCGAAACUCAUCUGACAUCGAGAAGCAUGCAGCGAAUGCAUAUUAUAGAUGUAGACAAAUUUAUGGCCACCGCCAUCGAAUUAUUAACUUCCACUGUUAAAACAACAUGACAAAUGGAAAAUAAAAUUUCUGUACCGAUGGUUAUUCUAAAAAAUUAGAAGGGGCUUUCUGCAAGUACCUAUUACAUAGUGUUCGCUGGAACAGGUGGUAUUGGUAGUCAGACUUUAGGCUUUCAAAAUUGGAAAAAUGCUUUAGAAGUAUUUGAAAAACAUAAUGAACACAACGGUGAAAACUUUUUAAAAUUAUUUUCAAAAAUCCAACCAAAUAUUAUUUAAGUUUUGGAUGAUCAAAGAUUGAAACAAAAGAAACAAAAUAGAUCCAAUAUUCUUCCAAUCAUAAAAUGUGUCAUUCUUUGUGGAAGAAAGAAACUUUCCCAACGCGGGCAUAGAGAUUUUGUUUCAAUUUGUUAAAAAAAAAAAAAUUAAAAUUAACAAUCAAACAUCAAAUAUCAACGAAGAAUUUAAUUAAUUGUUUGAAGAAGCCGAAAAAAUGGUCAAUAACCUAAACAUCAGUAUACCAGUAAAACAUUUAAAUAAAAGAAGUACACAUAGAGGCAUAGAACUAAUCUCAAUGUUAAAGAUGCUAAUGGGUACUAUCGUAUAACAGUAGCUAUACUAUACAUAGAUUCUUUUAUUCAACAGUUAAAUGAGCGAUUUUAUGCCAUAAAAAUAUAUUUUAAGGAUUUCAGAGUUCAUAUUCAAACGACUUUGGUGAACAUGUUACAUUUUAUCUUGAUAGAUAUCUUUCCCGUUAUUUUUGAAGCGUCCAAUCCUUCGAUACGAAGUCCAUCGAGGCUCCGAACUCUGCUAAUGAUGACGUACGCUUGACCUUGUACGAAUAGUUUCUGUCCCAAGUAAACAACAAUAUAAUCGACUGUGAUGCCCUGCAUUUUAUGGGCUGUUGAAGCCGAUGAUAAUAUUAAAGGCAGCAACGGCGCUCGGCAGUUCCAUAACUGAAUUUUGCUGGAAAUUGUAUUGAUUUUGGUUUGAUCAGGUGGAUCCCAACCACGCCAAAAUCCACCAUUACGUCCGAAUUUUUUAUCUUCAAACAGUGCCUCAAAUCGAGCGCGCAAGAUUUGAUUACAGACAAACAGACGUGAAAGCGAACUAAAAGUGUGUAAAAAUACAGUAAUGGCUGAGUUACAUUAAUUAUGGCAUGCUUUGUUAAAAAAAAAUAAACAAUGACCAAAAAAUGGUUUAGAAGCUUUGAGACUUUGUAAAAAUGAAAUACUUCCAAAUAAUUAUCAUUUAUUAAAAAUAUUAUGUACUCUACCUGUCUCAACAGCGACACCGGAAAAAACAUUUUCAUGUCUUAAAAGACUGACAAAUUAUCUGCGUAGCACGGUGAUAGAAACUAGACUUAAUGAAUUGACAAUACUAGCCGUUCACAAGGAAAUUCCAAUAAUAGCUGAAGAAGUCCUUGAUAAAUUGGCCAAAAAACCUAGAAAAUUAGACAUCAUUCUUUAAAAAAUAUGUUAUGUAUUUAUAUUAUUAUAUAUAAUAAAUAUGUGUUAUGUAUAAUACCUAUAUUUUAUAUUAUUAUAUGGAUCUAUUAAAAA